Molecule: ribosomal RNA, 253 nt
Filed under: uncultured bacterium
Lineage: Bacteria
Description: partial 16S ribosomal RNA
Rfam family: Bacterial small subunit ribosomal RNA
Source: RNAcentral
UACGAGGGGUGCGAGCGUUAUUCGGAAUUAUUGGGCGUACAGGGCGCGUAGACGGCGUGUUAAGUCAACUGUUAAAUUCCCUGGCCUAACUGGGGACCAGCAGUAGAUACUGAUGUGCUAGAGGGUGGAAGAGAGAAGUGGAAUUCUCGGAGUAGCGGUAAAAUGCGUAGAUCUCGAGAGGAACACCGAUGGCGAAGGCAGCUUCUUGGUCCAUACCUGACGUUGAGGCGCGAAAGCGUGGGGAGCAAACAGG